This 253-nucleotide ribosomal RNA is filed under the name uncultured bacterium. RNAcentral's name for it is "partial 16S ribosomal RNA". It matches the Rfam family "Bacterial small subunit ribosomal RNA", at positions 524 to 776 of the family's 1533-position model. The record is from RNAcentral.
UACGGAGGAUCCGAGCGUUAUCCGGAUUUAUUGGGUUUAAAGGGUGCGUAGGCGGCCUUGUAAGUCAGGGGUGAAAGCCGGUAGCUUAACUAUCGCAGUGCCUUUGAUACUGCAGGGCUUGAAUGUACUUGAGGUAGGCGGAAUGUGACAAGUAGCGGUGAAAUGCAUAGAUAUGUCACAGAACACCAAUUGCGAAGGCAGCUUACUAAAGUAUGAUUGACGCUGAGGCACGAAAGCGUGGGGAUCAAACAGG